GCGCUGCAUUAGCUAGUUGGUAAGGUAACGGCUUACCAAGGCAACGAUGCAUAGCCGACCUGAGAGGGUGAUCGGCCACACUGGAACUGAGACACGGUCCAGACUCCUACGGGAGGCAGCAGUAGGGAAUCUUCCGCAAUGGGCGAAAGCCUGACGGAGCAACGCCGCGUGAGUGAUGAAGGUCUUCGGAUCGUAAAACUCUGUUAUUAGGGAAGAACAUAUGUGUAAGUAACUGUGCACAUCUUGACGGUACCUAAUCAGAAAGCCACGGCUAACUACGUGCCAGCAGCCGCGGUAAUACGUAGGUGGCAAGCGUUAUCCGGAAUUAUUGGGCGUAAAGCGCGCGUAGGCGGUUUUUUAAGUCUGAUGUGAAAGCCCACGGCUCAACCGUGGAGGGUCAUUGGAAACUGGAAAACUUGAGUGCAGAAGAGGAAAGUGGAAUUCCAUGUGUAGCGGUGAAAUGCGCAGAGAUAUGGAGGAACACCAGUGGCGAAGGCGACUUUCUGGUCUGUAACUGACGCUGAUGUGCGAAAGCGUGGGGAUCAAACAGGAUUAGAUACCCUGGUAGUCCACGCCGUAAACGAUGAGUGCUAAGUGUUAGGGGGUUUCCGCCCCUUAGUGCUGCAGCUAACGCAUUAAGCACUCCGCCUGGGGAGUACGACCGCAAGGUUGAAACUCAAAGGAAUUGACG
RNAcentral lists this ribosomal RNA (691 nucleotides) under Staphylococcus aureus. RNAcentral describes it as "bacterial SSU rRNA". It matches the Rfam family "Bacterial small subunit ribosomal RNA", at positions 233 to 915 of the family's 1533-position model. The record is from RNAcentral. Lineage: Bacteria; Bacillati; Bacillota; Bacilli; Caryophanales; Staphylococcaceae.